GUUACCUUCGGGUAAUGAGGAUGGCGGACGGGUGAGUAACGCGUAAGGAACUUGCCUCUUGGACUGGGACAACUGUUGGAAACGACAGCUAAUACCGGAUAUUAUGAGAUUCUCGCAUGAGAAAUUUAUGAAAGCUAUAUGCGCCAAGAGAGAGCCUUGCGUUCCAUUAGCUAGUUGGUGGGGUAACGGCCCACCAAGGCGACGAUGGAUAGCCGGCCUGAGAGGGUGAACGGCCACAAGGGGACUGAGACACGGCCCUUACUCCUACGGGAGGCAGCAGUGGGGAAUAUUGGACAAUGGGCCACAAGCCUGAUCCAGCAAUUCUGUGUGCACGAUGAAGGUCUUCGGAUUGUAAAGUGCUUUCAGUUGGGAAGAAGAAAGUGACGGUACCAACAGAAGAAGCGACGGCUAAAUACGUGCCAGCAGCCGCGGUAAUACGUAUGUCGCAAGCGUUAUCCGGAUUUAUUGGGCGUAAAGCGCGUCUAGGCGGAAAAAUAAGUCUGAUGUUAAAAUGCGGGGCUCAACUCCGUAUUGCGUUGGAAACUGUUUUUCUAGAGUACUGGAGAGGUGGGCGGAACUACAAGUGUAGAGGUGAAAUUCGUAGAUAUUUGUAGGAAUGCCGAUGGAGAAGUCAGCUCACUGGACAGAUACUGACGCUGAAGCGCGAAAGCGUGGGGAGCAAACAGG
This 687-nucleotide ribosomal RNA is filed under the name uncultured bacterium. RNAcentral describes it as "bacterial SSU rRNA". It matches the Rfam family "Bacterial small subunit ribosomal RNA", at positions 73 to 776 of the family's 1533-position model. The record is from RNAcentral.